RNAcentral lists this long non-coding RNA (6478 nucleotides) under Linum usitatissimum (flax). Its description in RNAcentral is "long non-coding RNA (LUSI_LNC006770)". Lineage: Eukaryota; Viridiplantae; Streptophyta; Magnoliopsida; Malpighiales; Linaceae. The record is from RNAcentral.
UGGAAAUUUGCAACUGAAGAGCCUGCCGAGUAGCAUAUGGAACAUGGUCUCUUAUGAAUUCGAGAUUCAACAGUGCCCUUUGAUUGAAAUUUUGCCGGAGAUUUUGGAGCCUGUUACAGGCUUAACUAGUAUUGAUAUAAGUGAAUGUGGAAACUUCAAAAGCCUGCCAUCUAGCAUCAACAAUAUAAGAUCUCUCGAACGACUUGAUUUAUCACAGACAGGUAUUCAAUCUCUGCCGGAACUCCCACAAAAUCUGAAGUCAUUGAAAGUAAAUGGUUGCAAGUUUUUACAAGCUCUACCAAGCAACACAAGUGAGCUGUUGCAUCUGAAGCAACUCCAUUUUAACGAAUGCCCACAACUGGCAAAUUUCCUUGUUCAUCCCAUCUUGUAUCAGUCACAGGAGGUAACGUAAAUGCCACCCUGAUCUUUUAUCUCGAAAUAUAUAUGAGCUACGAGAAGAGAAGUGUUCAAAAUAAUUUAUGAUGCGUAUCUUUGUGGGUGACAGUGUCAACUUUUAUGUUCAAGAAGUGAGCUUCCUGAAUGGUUAACCUACAAAAGCAUGAACUUGAAGGAAGAGGACGAGGAUUCUUGCAAUGUGAAGGUAGAGUUGCCUCCUCCUCAUAGCACUGGCCAGCCAAUGAUUGUUAAGGGAAUUGCGUUUGGGGUUGUGUUCUCUUCCCGCUUUUGGUUGGAUAUGAGAUGCGAUUGCAAAGUCGGCAACGCCAUCGUUGCAUCUUGGAAUUGCAGUAACUGGUAUUUUUACAGUGAACGUGAUGAGUCAUCGAGAGAAAAAUUAUGGUUGCAAUACGACAAGAUGGCUGUGGGAAGUAAAGAAGACGUAGUGUGGUAUGUCAAAUAUGCUGGAGCCACUGCUACGUUCAAUUUUCACAUUCGUGACCGGUUUGGAACAGCCAAAAUAAAAGGAUGUGGGGUUUGUCUGCUCUACUAAAGUAGUUUGCAGGGGGAGGGAAAAGGACUUGCCAUGAUACAGGUACAUUGCUGAUGUUGUUAAAAGCUUGUUAUCCAGUUGAAUGUUCUCUUGUUGUUGUCAACUCUACUGUGGUUUCAUAUAGUUGCUUGUUGUUAACUCAUUAUUGACCUAUUGGUCACGCUAUAAUCGAUGUGUACAUGAUAUUUUUAAGACCAUGUCGAUUGUUUUUUUGGGUGGAAAAGGAAAACCUUAUAUAGUCAUUUAGUCUGUUAGUUAUUAGUUUUUUUAAGUUUGAAAAAAAGUUAAUUAGUUUCUUACUCGGUUUGUUCGGUUUUCCGUUGGUUAACCUAGCCAAACCAAAUUCCACCUAUCGGGUUUAAUUAAUACAUAUAGAAAGUAUAAUCUAUCGAUUUCGUGCAAAAAAAAUGGCACCACUUAUCGAAAGUAUAUUUUAUGACAUCAAUUUUGAAUGAAUUUAAUGGAAAUUGAUAAUUGGCAGCAUUGGCCGUUAAAAAUGACGGCAAACUUGACACUAUUAUAACAAAAAAAAAUUGGGUGAAAGUUGAUAGAUUGAGCUUUCUAUGUGUAUUAAUAAUUAAGCCUUAAAUCCAGAUUAUACUAAGAAACCCUAUUACAAUCCUAAUUUCUAAACUUUAGUUGUAAGGGUUUUGUUCUCGCGGUUACUAAACUGCAAAAAAGGAUACUGAAAUGCGCGCACGUUCUCGCAGUUAUUAGAAACAUCUCCUCGCCUGAUGCGUUACUUGCUUGCAUUCCUUGCAGAGAAAAAUUAAAAAGCUGUUAUCCAACGGAACAGCAAUUUAGUGGGUGGGACAUGGGUUGCAUAAUGAUCUACUUGGUACGCCUAUAAUCAUUUCGAUUGCUCAAGUUUAGCUUUUGAAACUUUAUUUUUUUAUACGAAACUUUUUUAUACGAAGUGAUCCCUAGGAUCAUGUCAGAAGUGAAGCAUGUAAGUUCAUCAAUUUGCACUUUCACGUUUGUUCGUUUGUGUUAUGAGAAUCGAUAAUUUUUUGAAAACGAUGUAUAUAAAGAAAUUGUCAUUUCUCAAAAUAUCUGUAUGGAAUCUAUAUAUCUAUGGUUGAGUUUUUACUAUAAAUAUAUACCUUUUGGUUUCAUUACUGGAUUAUUUUAUAAAACAAGGAUAAUAUUGGAAUUUUAAAUAAAUAUCAAUUUGAAAAUCCGUAAAACUUAACUUUUUGUUGAAUUUUGUUUUUGGUGUUUUAGAGCUCAAUUUUUCCAUCAAAUUUUGAAAUUUACUUUUUCUAUCAAACGAGGGAAUCUUAAAAAAUUAUUGUUUCACUCAAAACACAAACCAAAAACACCAAAACCAAACAUGUUAUAACUUGAAGACUUGAAUUUGUAACAUGUUAUAAAUUUCCAUGGCUGAAUUAGGAGCUGAUAGAUCACAAUUCUUGUUUUGCUUCAGCAUUUUUAAGGACCUGUAGCAGGUGCUCCUUUCAGGAAAUUAGGAUGCAUGACUUUUUCCGUAUGGUCGCGCGAUGUCGUGGAAUAUAAAAUUGAUUAUAAUUAGAUGUUCCGUAUUUGAAUUUUACGAGUCUCCUUUAAAAAGAGAAAGUAAAUUUACGAAUUUGAAGUUUGCAUAGGCCGAGCGUAGGUUGUGCUUAAUGGAAUUAGUUGGAUGAGGUAUUUUUGCAUAUGUGGUAUUUUGAAGUAAAUAAUGUGUUAUAGAAAGAAUGUGGUAUUUCUGAAGUGUAAGGUUUGUGAUGUGGUCAUGCGAAAAUUAUUUUGUUUUGGUGAAUGAGUUAAUUCAAUGUGAUAUUUCGUACAUGGAAAAGCCAAAUUAUUAGUUGAAAUACCACGAUUUUUUGAAGAUGUCAAACGAAUUAUUUUGAGCUGAAUAACUCAAAUUAUAUAACUCAAACAUUUGAUUAUUUUAUAUAAGGUAACAAUUAAAAAUAAAUAAAUCAACUAUUUUAUACAUAAAAAAAUCUCAUUACAUAAAUAUAUCAAUAAAAACUUAAUUGAACGAUUUAGACUCAACUCGAAUAUUUCAAUUUUCAUAUCCUGUUUGACCAUAUAGAGUUCAAUCGAAUUGUCAUCAUCAGAAAUAGUUGUUGUAAUUAAAAAAAAUAAAAACCAUUUGGAAGGAUAAGUGUUAAUUACGUGUAAGAUUAGGUAGGCCGGCCAUUAACCAAAAAAGUCAUCAAUUAUUCAGAAAACAAAUGAUUCAGUCGCAAUCUAAAGUCUUUGUUUAAUUAGCAUAAACUUGUUACAAUUAAAAAAGACCCCCUGACUCAUAAGUCUUCAAAUUAAUCUCAGCCGUCCAGAUGAUCUAUUCAUUGGCAGGAUAACACAAGUGAUCAAUUAUUCAUAACAUAGAAAAUUCAUUCACUCAUAAUCUAAACUCCCCCGCCCAACUUGUUCAUCAUGCUAUAAACAUAUUCAGAGCACCAGCAGAAAAAAGUCAUACAUCAUUUUCUGAGUUAAUGGCUGCAAUUUCUUCUUCUUCUUCUUCUUCUUCUUCUUCUUCUGCUUCUUCUUCUGCAUCUCAUAGCUCUCUGUACGAUGUUUUCCUGUGUUUUCGAGGCGACGACACGCGCAAUGGUUUCACCAGCCACCUCAUGUCUGCUCUGUGUGAUAGGCAAAUCCAAACCUUCAUAGACGACAAGCUCGAGAGAACAGAGAGCAUCGGUGAGCUUCUAUCCAUCCUCGAAAGAACUGCUCUUUCUGUGGUGGUUUUUUCUGAGAAAUUUGCGGAUUCGGUCUGGUGCCUCGAUGAGGUAGCAACCAUAGCCCGAAAGAUGAAAGAAUCUGGGCAUCGGGUUCUACCGGUUUUCUACAAAGUGGAUCCAUCAGACGUGACAGACGACACUGGAAGCUGUGCGGCUACCAUGGAUAGUGAACAUAAUAAGUCCAAGAGUAGUUAUGUAGAGGAUAAAAAGAGAUGGAUGGAUGCUUUGAAUGUUGUGGCUGAUUCUGCUGGCCAUACCUCAGAAGCUAUCAAGUAAGUUACUUGUUAAAGUUAAUUUUAAUAGUUGUUUCGUUUCUGUUAGAUUGAGCUUUAAAUUGUGUAUCUUUUUUGUUCUUUGAUUUGUUUUGCAUGGGGUUCUUAGAAAUGAAUCUGAAUUGGUUAAUGCAAUUGUGGAAAAUGUUUUGAAGAAACUAAUUGACAUGUCACCGGUUAUCAAGAAUGAUAACUUGGUUGCUAUGAGUUUACGUAUUUCCGAGGUUGAGCGACUACUGGCUAUGGACAAAGUAAAAGAGACUCGCGUUGUUGGGUUAUGGGGAAUGGGCGGGGUUGGAAAAACAACUCUAGCAAGAGCGUGUUAUGAAAGGAUAACUUCGUCCGACAAAAGGAUUAAGUGUCUUUUUAUUUCAAAUGUAAAUGAAAAAUACGGAAAGCAUCUUGACGUUGAAGAAGUUGUUUGCAAACUCUAUUCAAAACUGUUGGAUGAGGAUAAAAUUGAUCGUGAAGAUUUGAAUAUUACUUAUCGACGGGAACGUCUGUCGCGUUUGAGGGUAUUCAUUGUCCUUGACAAUGUUGAAACUUCGCAGCAAUUGGAACAAUUUGUUUUGGGAGGUGUCUCCGAUCUCAACACAAUCUUUGCAACGGGGAGUAGAAUCCUCAUGACGACAAGAAAUAGAGAUGUGCUUAAAAACUCGACGAGGGAGAUUUACAAAGUUGAGUGUCUGAAUGACGAGGAAUCCACCAAGUUGUUUAGUUUGCAUGCGUUCAUACCCGGCUUCCCUCAAGAUAAUUGGACAGAUAAGUGUCGUCUUGCAACAUCAUAUUGUAAGGGACAUCCCUUGGCGCUUAAGAUCAUGGGGGGUGCAUUGUUCAGUCGAGAUAUGCAUUAUUGGGAAAGUUUCUUGAGCGGGUUGAAGCAAACUGGAGAGACAGAUAUCCGUAACUUUUUUAGGAGGAGUUACGAUAUGCUUGGGGAAAUAGAGCAAAUAAUAUUUCUUGAUGUUGCAUGUCUAUUUGAUAGCAUACCAAAAUCUCAAUUGAUUGAGUAUAUGUCCACCAUGCACCCCGCUUCUCUUGUUAAGGUGGAAAUUUUAAUCGAUAGCUCCCUCUUAGCUUGUGUUUCUAACGAGAAGAUUGAGGUGCAUGAUCUACUUAAGGAGAUGGCUUGGAAUAUUUUCAAUGGAGAACCAAAGCUUAGCAAACGCAACAGAUUCCUGAUGAUAUUCGUAAAUUGCUUAGGGCUCGAGAUGUUCACAAGUUUUUUGUAACUUCAGAAGUGAAAAAUUGGAAUACAUCAUUUCUCGGCUUCUUCAAAGCCAUAGGAAUGGUGGUCCUGCCAAAAAUGAAGAGAAGAAGAAUCGCUGACAUGCAUUGGAAAGGAAAAUGUCCAUUGGAGGAACAUCGAAUGACAGAAGGUAUACGUUUGGAUCUUUCGAAAGCCAAAGAGAUGUAUUUGGAAGCUGAUGCCUUUGAGGGGAUGAAUUCUCUUAGCUUUCUCAAGUUUCAUGGCUAUGUGGAUAAAACUAAAGUUCAUUUGCCUUAUGGUGGACUUAGCUCACUUCCUGAUGGGUUGAGAUGGUUGGAAUGGUAUCGAUAUCCUUCAAAAUCUCUACCAUCAAAUUUUUAUCCUCAGCACCUUACCCAUCUCAUUAUACAAGAAAGUCCAAUUCAAAGAUGUUGGAAAGGACAUGACCAAGUAAGUUUUCUGAUGAUCUUCUAUUUGACCUCUUAAUUACUUACAAUCAUUACUUAACCUUUUUCCUUUUUCUACAGCCCCAACUUGUGAACUUGUUGGUACUCAAUCUCUCGUUCUGUAGCAAUCUAAUUGCUAUUCCAAAUAUAUCAAGUUCUUCAAAACUCGAAGAACUCAUUCUUUGUGGAUGUGAAAGCCUAGUUGAGGUACCUUGUCAUGUCCAAUACUUGACCAAGUUGAUAACAUUAGACCUCGGUCAUUGCCUAAACCUCAAGCGUCUUCCGCCUAGACUUGACUCAAAGUUGCUUAAGUAUGUUUCGAUGGUGAGUUGUCUCAAUGUCAGGCACUGCCCGGAUAUUAUUUCAAAAGAGUUGGAGACAUUGAAUUUAGCUCGGACAUCUCUCGUAGAACUACCAAGUGCAAUUUACAAUGUCAAGAAAAAUGGAAUCUUAUAUCUUCAUGGUGAAAACAUUACCAAAUUUCCUGCUGUUACAGCAGACUUGAAGACUUUUUCUUUGAACAGUACUUCAAUAAGAGAUAUUGAUUUGUAUGAUCGUCACACUUUUUCUGAAUUGAUUAUGCCGAAAUUCAACACACUGUGUCUUUCUGGAAAUUUGCAACUCAAGAGCCUGCCGAGCAGCAUAUGGACCAUGGUCUCUUAUCAACUCGAGAUUCGACAGUGCCCUUUGAUUGAAAUUUUGCCGGAGAUUUUGGAGCCUGUUACAGGCUUAACUAGUAUUGAAAUACGUGAAUGUGGAAACUUCAAAAGCCUGCCAUCUAGCAUCAACAAUAUAAGAUCUCUCCAACGACUUGAUUUAUCAAACACAGGUAUUCAAUCUCUGCCAGAACUCCCACCAAAUCUGGAGACAUUGUAUGUAAAUGGUUGCAAGUUUUUACAAGCUCUACC